GAGUAUUUCUUGAAGGAUUAAUGGAGGCAUUCCCUCUGCUUCCUUGUGAGGUCACCAGCUUGUAUUCUGAGAGGUAUCCUGUCUCCUAGACUGCAUGAAUAAGGGAACUCCCUCACUUUAGAAUCAUCUACAAAAAGUCUAAGAUCAUACAGAAAGAGAAGAAAAGAAGAAAGAAGGGAAGAAACGGAGAGGGGAGACAAGAAAAAGGAAGGAGAGGACUGGGAAGGGAAAAGAAAAAGGAGGUCAGGAAAGGCAGGGCUUGAAAGCCCCUGAUCUUGUCUGAGGAGUAGGUAGAAAAUGCCUUCAUUUUAGGCUCCAGAAGCCUGCAUGGAUCCUGGCUAACUGCUGAGCUAUUGUUUUCAUUUCCCAUGAAGAGAUCUGCCUCCAGGAGCACAGGGCUCAGGUGAAGUUUAACACUGUCAAUUCCCCUACUUGCCUAAGCCAAAUGAACAUCAUUCAUUGCUGAACAACUCAGAGGUGAUUGUAAACCAGAGUGGAGCAAAGCAGGUUCUGAGAAAUAGGCUCCUGAGGACUCUCGUUGAAUUGUUCCUGUAAAAUCAGUUAAAUCAUCUGUUGAGAGGUGUGGCAAAGGCACAGACUUCACAAAAUGCUAUGGGGAUGAAUGCAAAGCAGGUCUGAAAUACUGACCACCGCUGCAGCAACAGGAGGCUGCUGUUGUACUUGACAGGCCUUGCUGCUUUUCCAUAUCCAGGGAAGUAUUAAGUCUGGAAAAGUACUUAGUAUUAGAUUUUACGGAAGCUAGCCUAAUAAUCUAAAUAUUAUCCUUUUGUGGAAGCACAGGUCGGAGAAGCAAGAUAAUGACACAUUCCAUAUUAUUCCGUCUCCAAGUUUCUUGGAGGAGAAAUAAUAUCCCUCUCUUUUCAUUGGAAAGUUAAAAGCCAUCCUCAAACAGAGUCUUGUCCUUUUCUUUCUUUAUGCCCUUUAUAAUUAUUACUAAGCUUAUGUUUUUACUAUUUGUUAGUGAUCUGUAGUAUUACUACUGAUCCUAUGCUAUUAUCAUACUGCAGACAGACGUUUUUGAAGAUUCUUUUCUAUUUCCCUUGAAAGCCAGGUUACUGAAUGAAAAAGGAAAAAGAGACAUAGGUGUUCUCUGCUGAAUUUUGCAAAGAGCCUACUAAGGGCUUUGUAAAUUAACAAAUGACUCAGUUACCAGAGUGUCUGACCCCUUUCAUCUGGAUCUCGGAACAGGGCCUAGAUCCUUAUUUUUAAAGGGAGAAGAUCUCCAUGAGGGGUAAAGGCUGAUGGCUCCCCAGGCAGGUACUUUUUGCUUAUGGACAAAAUUGGGCAAAGUUAUUGAAUUAUUGAAAAAAUGUGAAAUCAGUGACCAAAGAAUUGUUGUCAUAG
Molecule: non-coding RNA, 1365 nt
Organism: Equus caballus (horse)
Lineage: Eukaryota; Metazoa; Chordata; Mammalia; Perissodactyla; Equidae
Source: RefSeq, a predicted model, not a curated record